UGUCGUGAGGUGAAAUCUGAAGGAAGCUGGUGGCAAACAUCUGACCUAACGGACAGAAACUUCAUACAAGGCAUAUGAGUGUGGAUGAGAUUGCUAAAAAAAUCAAAGUCCAAUAGCUAUUCGGAACGGUGGUGAA
Molecule: non-coding RNA, 136 nt
Filed under: uncultured Prevotella sp.
Lineage: Bacteria; Pseudomonadati; Bacteroidota; Bacteroidia; Bacteroidales; Prevotellaceae
Source: RNAcentral